AGAUGAGAUUCAUUUACUUUUUAUCGUAUGUUAACCAACUUGUAUUUGUUAGUGACAAAAUUUAUUAUUUAUAUUUAUUAUAAUUUUUAUUAUGGUAUUUUAUUAAUAUUAUAAAAUUAUUGCACUACUAUAUGUUGUGUAUAAUAACGAGGUAUGCACUUCUCAUCUUGUAGGACGUCGCGACCCGUUAAUUAUUGAUUUAUGAAAUAUUUUUGUGCAUUGUAUAUUAUCAUUUUUAUAUUUUGUAUAAUAUAUGCCUAUAUUAUCUAAUCAAUUGUUUGACGGUAUGAAUAUAUAAAUAAAAGAUUAAGUGUAUAUUAAUUUAUACACGUUCAUAACCUGAAACGAGUUAAUAUGGGUUCUAUUUAAGAUUUUUUUUUUUUUAAAUAAACAAAUAUUUUUAUUUGGUUUUUAUACCAAUAAAAUAUACUGUAUUACUGUCAGUUUUGGGGUAUUUUUGAACAAUAAUCUUUUUGUCAGCGACGCUAUAGCUUUGGGUACUUUCAGGACCCGUCUUGAAACACGGACCAAGGAGUCUAGCAUGUGCGCAAGUCAUUGGGAAUAAAAUAUUUUUUCAUCGAAAUAUUAAUAAAUUUUAUGAAACCCAAAGGCAAAAUGAAAGUAAAAUAAUUUAUUAAAAGUGUCAAAAUUUUUUUUAAAUUUGAGGGAGGAUAUAUUUUUAUUAUGUAUUAAAUAUCGCACUCCCAGGGCAUCUUAUACUAUUCUUAUAAUUAUUUUAUAAUUUUUAUUAUGAAUAAAGGUGCACCUAGAGCGUACACGCUGGGACCCGAAAGAUGGUGAACUAUGCCUGGUCAGGACGAAGUCAGGGGAAACCCUGAUGGAGGUCCGUAGCGAUUCUGACGUGCAAAUCGAUCGUCGGAACUGGGUAUAGGGGCGAAAGACUAAUCGAACCAUCUAGUAGCUGGUUCCCUCCGAAGUUUCCCUCAGGAUAGCUGGCGUUCAUCAUUGAACGAGUCUCAUCCGGUAAAGCGAAUGAUUAGAGGCCUUGGGGCCGAAACGACCUCAACCUAUUCUCAAACUUUAAAUGGGUGAGAUCUCUAGCUUGCUUAAAAUCAUAUAUUAAUUUUUUUUUUCUUUUUGAAUAAAAUUUUUUAUAUAUGUGAAGCUAUGAGAAUAAUAUAACAAAAAUUUUUUUAUAUUUAUGGAUCAGAAUGCCAAGUGGGCCACUUUU
RNAcentral lists this ribosomal RNA (1192 nucleotides) under Macronemurus appendiculatus. Its description in RNAcentral is "partial 28S ribosomal RNA". The stretch from base 527 to 1192 matches the Rfam family "Eukaryotic large subunit ribosomal RNA", at positions 665 to 1138 of the family's 3401-position model. The record is from RNAcentral. Lineage: Eukaryota; Metazoa; Arthropoda; Insecta; Neuroptera; Myrmeleontidae.